CGCUGGCGGCAUGCCUAACACAUGCAAGUCGAACGAGACUUCGGUCUAGUGGCGGACGGGUGAGUAACGCGUAGGAACCUGCCAAGCAGUGGGGAAUAACAGCUGGAAACGGCUGCUAAUACCGCAUACGCCCUUCGGGGGAAAGAUUUAUCGCUGUUUGAGGGUCCUGCGUUCGAUUAGCUAGUUGGUGAGGUAACGGCCCACCAAGGCGACGAUCGAUAGCUGGUCUGAGAGGAUGAUCAGCCACACUGGGACUGAGACACGGCCCAGACUCCUACGGGAGGCAGCAGUGGGGAAUUUUGGACAAUGGGCGCAAGCCUGAUCCAGCCAUGCCGCGUGCGUGAAGAAGGCCUUAGGGUUGUAAAGCGCUUUCACCUGUGAUGAUGAUGACAGUAGCAGGAGGAGAAGCCCCGGCUAACUCCGUG
This 425-nucleotide ribosomal RNA is filed under the name uncultured bacterium. Its description in RNAcentral is "bacterial SSU rRNA". It matches the Rfam family "Bacterial small subunit ribosomal RNA", at positions 34 to 507 of the family's 1533-position model. The record is from RNAcentral.